Fopius arisanus is the source of this 2430-nucleotide RNA transcript. RefSeq lists it as uncharacterized. The transcript has 10 exons. Lineage: Eukaryota; Metazoa; Arthropoda; Insecta; Hymenoptera; Braconidae. The record is from RefSeq and is a predicted model, not a curated record.
UUUUCUGGCCUCUUAGCUUUAUAUUCCGAGAAUCGGGGGAAUACGAUGAGGGAACCGAGGGUGGGAGAUCGUAGUGUCUUGCGAUCGUUGUUUACUUAGUGUCCUCAUCCCUUCAUGCCUUCUUUGUUCUUCUCUCCUUCUCCCCCGGUUCGUUAUUGCACGAGUUACUACGCAGUAGACAACACGUUAGUGUUAAGAAUUUCCGGACUACUUCUUCAAAAUCGCAAGACCACAUCAUAGAAAACAGUGUUUGUAGUGAAGUUUUCUUGCAGUCCAGACGACCUUCGAAUCCUCCUUAAAUCGCGGGUAUUCGCUAUGGCCAAGGUAGUCUACUGUGCCAUCUGGCAUCAUUCAAAAAAAAUACAUGAACUCUGCCUACUAUCCGAAUUACGGCACAAGCAAUGCAACGGUGGACAACAAUUAUCUGAGGAAGAUCUUAAAUCGCUAAUACAAGAUAAAAAAUCAUGUCGAUUGAUUUCAUCAGAGGGCAAAGUACUAUCUGUUGCAGUUUUGAAAUCAUCUGAAAACAAAGAAGAUAUUGAUAACUACCUUGUGGCAUCAAAACGAUUACCAAAGCCACCUAGACAGAGUUUCGAGCUAGUCGAAGAUGAGAUUCCUGUUGCAAAAAAAAAGACGAAAAUUUCAAAGAAGCAAGCCGUGAUGGGCAGGCAACGAAAGGCACUUUCUUAUUCUCGUGAGAAAGCUGUACGAACUGCAAAUUCCGUCAGGAGCUUAGACUCUCUUGUGAUGACUACGGGAUUUGAGAGGAUGCCCGACAAUGAACAUGGUAUGGACUUGUUACAAAACAUCACCGAAACCAAUUCUCCGACUCCUGAGGGACCUAAAACUCGUGCGAAGAAGAGGAAGCAGACGACGGAGAGCAGAGCAAGUUACAACCCUAAAAAAUUCAAGGGGAACGCUCAAGAUAAUGAGAGACAGCUCCAUAAAAACAAAGAAUUAAAGUGCAAUCAGAAUGAAAAAAAUAGUGACCCUCCGUCUCACGAAUUGAACAGAAUAUGUUCAAUUAACUCUUCAAAAAACCUAAUCGACAAGCCAAAUAAGGGUAGCUUUAAUAGCAUCUCAAUUACUUCCGUGCAAACAACCAGUCUGGUGAGUCCUGAAGAACAGGAAACAUUAUCAGGCAGCGACAAUUCCCUUGACAGAGAAAUUAACAGAAUCCUCGCGUAUAGAAAGCCCAUAAAACAUCCAUCCAGGAAAAACGACGACAAUGAAAAAUUUACUUGCAAACCUGGAAAAUAUCUACAUGAUAAAAUCUCCUCAACUCGUCCAAGCAUAAGGCAGAAACUUUUGAUGAAACCCAAAGUAACAAAUAUCUACGAUUUUACAAGUGAUGAAAUUGUCACCAUGAACAAGCUGCGUAAUAAUCGCGUGGUAAGACUCAGGAAUGCUAAUGAGGAGGCUAACAAAGGUAAAGGGGCUAAAAGGGAGGACGACACUUCUGCGCAAUACUCAAAAUUUGAUAAAUUGAAGAUAAACGCUGUGACAAAUGUUGAGCCGGUAGAGAUUGCGCUAACCGACGAGGAGUUACCCUUAACAAAGUCAUCGCUUGAUUUUGAAGAAAAGGAGCCAAAGGAUCAACGUGAAUCGUCCGUGGGAAAAUCUCAUGUAGGAGUAUCUAAAGAAAGUAGGGACCAUGCAAGGCAUAAGACGGUAGACGGAGAAAGGUUAUCCAAUCCUACACGUCCUGACUAUCAACAAUUGCUUGAGGAGAACGAGGCAUUGAAAGAAAGACAAAAAAAAUACGACAUUAUUUUACAAGAUCUGCCUAUGCCGCCGAAAAUUACGCUCGGCAUAUUCAAGGAUUGCAUGAAAGAUCUUUUGGAUAACCAUGGUCGCCCAAAAGUAAAACUUAAUGCUGACCAAAAUGGAAUGGUUCACAUUAGUGAGCGAUUCUCAUUAUCCCUCAGUAAUUGUACUACCUUGAUGGGGUGUAAGUCAGUAACUAAACGCAUCGAUUUUGUCGUGAAACACUUCUGGUCAGAAACAUACAGAAGAAAUCUCUAUACCGAUGUGACGAAGAGGGUCUUAACUGACAAUCCUCAGGCCCACGGAGCCACAGGACCUGAUUUAGCAGCAAUCAAAGGAAGAAUAGUGCAAGGAUCUCGAAAGUGGUCAUCGACUUCCAGAACCCAGAUUAUCAUUUUCUGAACCCAGAUUCUCGAAAUUGGAAGCCGAGUUCUCCAUUCAACUAAUUUGAUUACUGGAAGCCAGUGAUCGCUUUCUGAAUCCGAAUACCAUGCUGACUAAAAGCAACUUCCUCUCUCUACGAUGAAAGUGAAUACUAUUCUAUUGGCAAAAAUCUUCCUUAGGAGGUAACAGAAAGAAAUCAUUCAGUGGACGCAGGAACGUGACCUCCUCGAUACAACCAAAGAAGACAAAAACUGGGAACUCAAUUUCCUAAAAUCUGUG